GAUGAAGAACGUAGCGAAAUGCGAUAAGUAGUGUGAAUUGCAGAAUUCAGUGAAUCAUCGAAUCUUUGAACGCACAUUGCGCCCCAUGGUAUUCCGUGGGGCUUGCCUGUUCGAGCGUCAUUUACCCCCUCAAGCUCCGCUUGGUGUUGGGCGUCUGUCCCGCUUCGCGCGCGGACUCGCCCCAAAGGUAUUGGCAGCGGUCGUGCCAGCUUCUCGCGCAGCACAUUGCGCUUCUCGAGGCACCGGUGGGCCCGCGUCCAUCAAGCUCACCCCCCCAGUUUGACCUCGGAUCAGGUAGGGAUACCCGCUGAACUUAAGCAUAUCAAUAAGCGGAGGA
Molecule: unclassified non-coding RNA, 337 nt
Filed under: soil metagenome
Description: partial contains 5.8S ribosomal RNA, internal transcribed spacer 2, and large subunit ribosomal RNA
Rfam family: 5.8S ribosomal RNA (bases 1-120)
Source: RNAcentral